This 104-nucleotide small nuclear RNA is filed under the name Sorex araneus (European shrew). The record is from RNAcentral. Lineage: Eukaryota; Metazoa; Chordata; Mammalia; Eulipotyphla; Soricidae.
GUGGCCUCCUCCGUAGCACAUAUACUAAGAUGAACGAUACAGAGAAGAUAGCAUAGCCCUGAGCAAGGAUGACAAUGCAAAUUCGUGAAGCAUUCCCAUAUUUU